Molecule: non-coding RNA, 85 nt
Organism: Bombyx mori (domestic silkworm)
Lineage: Eukaryota; Metazoa; Arthropoda; Insecta; Lepidoptera; Bombycidae
Source: Rfam
UUAACUCAAAUUUGUAUGGAGUUGAAACAAGCUUCCUGCCUAUGCCGCUAGAGGCGCUGUUCCAACUCCAUACAAAUUUGAGUUG